AGGACGAACGCUGGCGGCGUGCCUAACACAUGCAAGUCGAACGAGGUCCAUCCGGUAGCAAUACUGGUGAAGAUCAAGUGGCGAACGGGUGAGUAGCACGUGAGCAACCUGCCCCGAAGACCGGGACAACACCGGGAAACCGGUGCUAAUACCGGAUAUCCCCACCGAGUCGCAUGGCUUGGUGAGGAAAUGGAUUCCGCUUCGGGAGGGGCUCGCGGCCUAUCAGCUUGUUGGUGAGGUAAUGGCUCACCAAGGCUUCGACGGGUAGCUGGUCUGAGAGGACGAUCAGCCACACUGGGACUGAGACACGGCCCAGACUCCUACGGGAGGCAGCAGUGGGGAAUCUUGCACAAUGGGCGAAAGCCUGAUGCAGCAACGCCGCGUGAGGGACGAAGGCUUUCUGAGUUGUAAACCUCUUUCAGCAGGGACGAUUGUGACGGUACCUGCAGAAGAAGCCCGGCAACUACGUGCCAGCAGCCGCGGUAA
Molecule: ribosomal RNA, 486 nt
Filed under: uncultured bacterium
Lineage: Bacteria
Description: SSU rRNA
Rfam family: Bacterial small subunit ribosomal RNA
Source: RNAcentral